Molecule: ribosomal RNA, 468 nt
Filed under: uncultured bacterium
Lineage: Bacteria
Description: partial 16S ribosomal RNA
Rfam family: Bacterial small subunit ribosomal RNA
Source: RNAcentral
GACGAACGCUGGCGGCGUGCUUAACACAUGCAAGUCGAGCGGAAAGGCCCUGCUUUUGUGGGGUGCUCGAGUGGCGAACGGGUGAGUAACACGUGAGUAACCUGCCCUUGACUUUGGGAUAACUUCAGGAAACUGGGGCUAAUACCGGAUAGGAGCUCCUGCUGCAUGGUGGGGGUUGGAAAGUUUCGGCGGUUGGGGAUGGACUCGCGUCUUAUCAGCUUGUUGGUGGGGUAGUGGCUUACCAAGGCUUUGACGGGUAGCCGGCCUGAGAGGGUGACCGGCCACAUUGGGACUGAGAUACGGCCCAGACUCCUACGGGAGGCAGCAGUGGGGAAUAUUGCACAAUGGGCGGAAGCCUGAUGCAGCAACGCCGCGUGCGGGAUGACGGCCUUCGGGUUGUAAACCGCUUUCGCCUGUGACGAAGCGUGAGUGACGGUAAUGGGUAAAGAAGCACCGGCUAACUACGUG